Molecule: ribosomal RNA, 512 nt
Filed under: uncultured bacterium
Lineage: Bacteria
Description: bacterial SSU rRNA
Rfam family: Bacterial small subunit ribosomal RNA
Source: RNAcentral
UAACCAGCGUCAAGCAGAAACGACUAUAUAUUAUAAUUUUUGAAGUUUCUGCUUCACGCCAAAUCAAGUGCCAACACAAAGGGAGCUGAGUAUUGAAUGUUGAAUGCAGGAUAGCGGCGGACGGGUGAGUAACGCGUGGGCAACCUGCCUCAUACAGGGGGAUAACACAGGGAAACUUGUGCUAAUACCGCAUAAUAUCAUUGGGUGGCAUCACCUGAUGAUCAAAGGAGAAAUCCGGUAUGAGAUGGGCCCGCGUCCGAUUAGCUAGUUGGUGAGGUAACGGCUCACCAAGGCGACGAUCGGUAGCCGAACUGAGAGGUUGAUCGGCCACAUUGGGACUGAGACACGGCCCAGACUCCUACGGGAGGCAGCAGUGGGGAAUAUUGCGCAAUGGGGGAAACCCUGACGCAGCAACGCCGCGUGAAGGAAGAAGGCCUUCGGGUUGUAAACUUCUUUGAUUGGGGACGAAGGAAGUGACGGUACCCAAAAAACAAGCCACGGCUAACUACGUG